GUGGGGAAUAUUGGACAAUGGGCGAAAGCCUGAUCCAGCCAUGCCGCGUGUGUGAAGAAGGCCUUUUGGUUGUAAAGCACUUUAAGCGAGGAGGAGGCUACCGAGAUUAAUACUCUUGGAUAGUGGACGUUACUCGCAGAAUAAGCACCGGCUAACUCUGUGCCAGCAGCCGCGGUAAUACAGAGGGUGCAAGCGUUAAUCGGAUUUACUGGGCGUAAAGCGCGCGUAGGUGGCCAAUUAAGUCAAAUGUGAAAUCACCGAGCUUAACUUGGGAAUUGCAUUAGAUACUGGUUGGCUAGAGUAUGGGAGAGGAUGGUAGAAUUACAGGUGUAGUGGUGAAAUGCGUAGAGAUCUGGAGGAAUACCGAUGGCGAAGGCAGCCAUCUGGCCUAAUACUGACACUGAGGUGCGAAAGCAUGGGGAGCAAACAGGAUUAGAAACCCGUGUAGUCC
This 451-nucleotide ribosomal RNA is filed under the name uncultured bacterium. RNAcentral describes it as "partial 16S ribosomal RNA". It matches the Rfam family "Bacterial small subunit ribosomal RNA", at positions 354 to 796 of the family's 1533-position model. The record is from RNAcentral.